AUGGGACAUUUGGGGUUGAAAUCAUUCCUCACCACUGAGCUUCAGUGUCAGGCUGGAUACUCUCUAGUGCCCACUAAAAUCCUGGAUUCUUGCAUGCAAAUAAAUCAGAAAGAUGCAAAAAUAAAAUCCUUUACAAAAUGUCCAAAAGACUGGCCUCUAGGAGCAGAAUUGUCUUAGCCGGUUAGUGUCCAAUUGGUUUUCCCACUAUUCUUCCCAAACUCCAGCUAUCAGAAUCUAAGCAGGACCUUGGGAACUAAGUAACUGACUUCAUACGCUCGUGCCCUGCGCAGGGCCUCUGGCUCUGC
RNAcentral lists this long non-coding RNA (305 nucleotides) under Mustela putorius furo (domestic ferret). Its description in RNAcentral is "lncRNA (ENSMPUG00000031578.1)". The record is from RNAcentral. Lineage: Eukaryota; Metazoa; Chordata; Mammalia; Carnivora; Mustelidae.